Molecule: long non-coding RNA, 525 nt
Organism: Neopelma chrysocephalum (saffron-crested tyrant-manakin)
Lineage: Eukaryota; Metazoa; Chordata; Aves; Passeriformes; Pipridae
Exons: 4
Source: RefSeq, a predicted model, not a curated record
CGACACAUCUAUAUAUGACCCUCUGCUUACAGCAGCCUCAGCUCUGCAGCAGAAGGUGCUGACCCCGGGGAGGAUGGAGGUGUGUACCUGCUUGGAGGGGAACAUGAGGAAAUGUUCCCUGGAGUGCCAAUAGCUGGGAUUGGUGGUCAAACAGGACAGCAGUGCCUGGCUAUAAACUUCACUUGGAUUGUAAGGCCUGCUCCAGCACACAGAGAGACCCAGAUGUUGGUGUGUCAUCAUGAAACCCGCAGUGAUGGGGAGCCAAACUUACCUCUAGUCCCAGCUCUUCAUGGAGAGAUGUCCCUGGGGGACCCAGCAGUGGCAGAUCAGACUCAGUGACACAAACAGGGUCAAGAACAGACGUUUGGCUCUUCAUGAACUGCUUGGAGGAAAAGGCAGCAGCAGGACCUGUGGCUGAACGGGACCCUUAAGAGCAAAAGGAUUUGGCAGACUGGGACUGCCCAUGGCCAGGGAUAGCCCUUGGAUGGACCACACAGACUCUCCAGAUGGGCUGUGACUCCAAAG